CAAAGGUUUAGUCCUGACUCUCCUGUCAGCUGAGGCCUACUUUACACAUGCAAGUUUCCGCGCCCCCGUGAGUUAUGCCCCAAAAACGCCCCCCUCCCGGAGUGUAAGGAGCAGGCGUCAGGCACCCCCCCCCCGCCCACGACGCCCCGCAAAUGCCACACCCCCAAGGGCAACAGCAGUGAUAGACAUUAAGCAAUAAGUGUAAACUUGACUUAGUUAAGGCCAACCUAGGGCCGGCUAAAUUCGUGCCAGCUGCCGCGGUUAUACGAAUGGCCCAAGUUGACAGGCAUCGGCGUAAAGGGUGGUUAGAGUAAAUUUUAAAAGUAAAGCCGAAAAUUUUUAGAGCUGUAAAACGCCCAUAAACACAUAGAAGCCCUCAAACGAAAGUAGCUUUACAACCCCUGACCCCACGAAAGCUAGGAAACAAACUGGGAUUAGAUACCCCACUAUGCCUAGGUAUAAACAACGGCGACACACAACAAAUCGCCCGCCCGGGAACAACGAGCGGAAGCUUACAACCCAAAGGACUUGGCGGUGCUUUACCCCACCUAGAGGAGCCUGUUCUAGAACCGAUUCCCCCCGUUCAACCUUACCCUUCCUAGCCAUUACAGCCUGUAUACCGCCGUCGUCAGCCUACCCUCUGAAGGUAAAAUAGUUAGCAAACCCAGCACACAGCCCGAAACGUCAGGUCGAGGUGCAGCCCAUGGAAGGGAAUGAAAUGGGCUACAUUCACUUAACAAGUGAACACGAACAAUGCAUUGAAACACGCAUUCGAAGGAGGAUUUAGCAGUAAGCACAAAGCAAAGCGUUGUGCUGAACUCGGCCCAAAAGCACGUACAUACCGCCCGUCACCCUCCCCGAAACCAACCCCCUACCUACUUAAACACCCAUCCAACUACAAGGGGAGGUAAGUCGAAACAAGGUAAGUGUACUGGAAAGUGCACUUGGAUAACACA
This 956-nucleotide non-coding RNA is filed under the name Brachionichthys hirsutus. RNAcentral describes it as "12S rRNA". It matches the Rfam family "Bacterial small subunit ribosomal RNA". The record is from RNAcentral. Lineage: Eukaryota; Metazoa; Chordata; Actinopteri; Lophiiformes; Brachionichthyidae.